UCCAUGAGCCAGUUCGCACGAUUAAUAGCAAAUGACUGUUAAUCAUUGGGUCCCUGGUUCGAGUCCAGGUCGUGGAGCCA
RNAcentral lists this transfer RNA (80 nucleotides) under Pseudomonas shahriarae. RNAcentral's name for it is "tRNA-OTHER". Lineage: Bacteria; Pseudomonadati; Pseudomonadota; Gammaproteobacteria; Pseudomonadales; Pseudomonadaceae. RNAcentral also lists the same sequence under 1 other name. The record is from RNAcentral.